RNAcentral lists this long non-coding RNA (491 nucleotides) under Cotesia glomerata. Its description in RNAcentral is "uncharacterized LOC123270491, transcript variant X2". The record is from RNAcentral. Lineage: Eukaryota; Metazoa; Arthropoda; Insecta; Hymenoptera; Braconidae.
AUCUCCGGCCGUGGCGUCUCUUUCUGGAGGUUGGCGUCUCUCUCGGAGGCAGGUAUUGGCGCUGCAAACGUGAUCCGUUGGCGAGUACAACCUCUAAUCUCCGAUCCUGCUGUGCCCGCUGGUUGAUAAUUAUUAAUAUCAAUAGCAAUAUUAAUAUUGACACCAAACAUCCAAGUGAAACUCGUACUGUAGAUCCCGAGUGUCGUCCGUUGCGAUUCCGUGGGGCCUGGAAAAAAUAACAAUUAUAUACUAGCAUCGCUCAUGUAUAUUUUCUUUACUCGUAUCAAGAUUAAGCACGGGUGUGUGAGUUACAGUGUUGGUUAAUAUGCCGGGAUAGUGCGACAUAAAUUGAAACUUGUGGACGUUUAUUUAUUAUUUAUUAUUUUUUAAAAAUUAAUAAUUAUUAAUUGAAAAUUUUUAAUUUAUCUAUUUGUUUAUUAAUUUUCGGUGCAGAAAAGUUGAGGACCGAAAUUUUAUAUAUUUAUGGUGGA